Flavobacterium frigoris is the source of this 90-nucleotide non-coding RNA. The record is from Rfam. NCBI's taxonomy places the organism in Bacteria, Pseudomonadati, Bacteroidota, Flavobacteriia, Flavobacteriales, Flavobacteriaceae.
GGUUUGCAUGAGGGAUAGCAGUGAAAAUCCUCUCUUGUCUCGUUUCUAAAAACGAGACAAGAGAGAUUGUAACGAAUAGCCCGACCGGAG